Long non-coding RNA from Theobroma cacao (cacao), 861 nucleotides. RefSeq lists it as uncharacterized. Lineage: Eukaryota; Viridiplantae; Streptophyta; Magnoliopsida; Malvales; Malvaceae. The record is from RefSeq and is a predicted model, not a curated record.
UUCAAUUUAUUUUUCUUUUUAGAAGAAUAUAUUGAAUUUCUACCCUGUUUAGCAGAGAUUAAUCAGGUACUUUUCUGUCAUUUUACGCUGGGCUUUGUCGCAUUUCUAAAUGCAAAAGCUGCGGCAAGACUUGCUCUGCUUGAGGUGCUUCAGUUGUAGGUAUUGACCAGAAUGAGCAUUUGAGCUGGUUGAAGUGAGAUUCUUCUUUUGUGACACACACACACAUACUGGGUUCAGGACGAUCCUUGGGCACUUUGAUUGGAAGCUGCUUAACGAUGCAGAUGUUCUGGUUUUGCCCCUGCCCUGGAGUUUUCCUAGAAAACUCUAGUCUUUCGCAUUUGGUGCAGUCAGCAUCUGUUGUCAUGAGAAAUGAGAGUGGCAGGCCUGUUUCUUGUAUUAAACAACGGAAAGAAUGAUCAUAAACCUUCUCCUGCCUAUGGCUAACAAAAAUCACUUUUGCAAUACUUGGUAAUUCUCAUGAAGAUCAGUCCAUAAAUUCCAUGAAUUACAGGAUGGGUGUCAACUUUGAGUUUCUAAUUUUUUCUGUACAUAUUAGAAGCACCGAUUGACUGUAAAUUUUAACAUUUUCCAGGCAGCAAUAGUGGAGCUCGAGCUGCUAUUAGCCUAUUAGAAGGAAAUUCCCUGCGUGUACUUCUAGCCGUCACUGAGUAGACUUGGGAAGUUUGCUAGGCAACUGCCUUUAUUUUGAGUAGACUUUGAAAAAUUUUGUGCAAAAAUUGAUACAAAUUGUUAAAUUUUGAUUAGACUUUAAGAGGCCUCCCAUUGUACUCGUAAUGCUCUAACCCAACACUCAAUUUGGGAAAGUUAUUACAAAUAUCCUAUCUCCUAUAUUUUGCUCUA